GUGAGGAAUAUUGCGCAAUGGACGAAAGUCUGACGCAGCCAUGCCGCGUGAAGGAUUGACGGCCCUAUGGGUUGUAAACUUCUUUUGUAUAGGAAUAAACCCUCGUUCGUGAACGAGGCUGAAGGUACUAUAAGAAUAAGCACCGGCUAACUCCGUGCCAGCAGCCGCGGUAAUACGGAGGGUGCAAGCGUUAUCCGGAUUUAUUGGGUUUAAAGGGUACGUAGGCGGAUCGUUAAGUCAGUGGUGAAAUCCUACCGCUCAACGGUAGAACUGCCAUUGAUACUGGCGAUCUUGAGUAUGUAUGAAGUUGGCGGAAUGUGUGGUGUAGCGGUGAAAUGCUUAGAUAUCACACAGAACACCGAUUGCGAAGGCAGCUGACUAAUACACAACUGACGCUGAGGGACGAAAGUGUGGGGAUCAAACAGGAUUAGAAACCCUUGUAGUCC
This 446-nucleotide ribosomal RNA is filed under the name uncultured bacterium. Its description in RNAcentral is "partial 16S ribosomal RNA". It matches the Rfam family "Bacterial small subunit ribosomal RNA", at positions 354 to 796 of the family's 1533-position model. The record is from RNAcentral.